AUCCCUUGGUGCCCUAUUUAUAAGGGAUGUCCCAGAUGGUAUCUUGAGAUGAUUUUUGGCUGUGACUAAGAGGAGAGAUGUGGUAAACAAAAAAAAAAUCUGAAAAAAUUUUGAGAAAAAAAAGGAGGGAAUUUUGAGCAGCAAAAGUUGCUACUAGGGUGGUGAGAUUUUCAGCAAGUGUUUCUUGAGUGCCCUAGGAUUUGGUUUUUUCAUAUAUUGAAGUCAAAAAUCAAAUACUAGAUUGUAUGACAUCUGAAGACUGUCUUCUUGGUGUCGUUCUGGUGGUG
Molecule: long non-coding RNA, 287 nt
Filed under: Elaeis guineensis (African oil palm)
Lineage: Eukaryota; Viridiplantae; Streptophyta; Magnoliopsida; Arecales; Arecaceae
Description: long non-coding RNA (EGUI_LNC063886)
Source: RNAcentral